Molecule: ribosomal RNA, 253 nt
Filed under: uncultured bacterium
Lineage: Bacteria
Description: partial 16S ribosomal RNA
Rfam family: Bacterial small subunit ribosomal RNA
Source: RNAcentral
UACGAAGGGGGCUAGCGUUGUUCGGAAUUACUGGGCGUAAAGCGCGCGCAGGCGGCCAUUCAAGUCAGGGGUGAAAGCCCAGAGCUCAACUCUGGAACUGCCCUUGAAACUGUAUGGCUUGAGUAUGAGAGAGGUGAGUGGAAUUCCCAGUGUAGAGGUGAAAUGCGCAGAUAUCAGGAGGAACACCAAUGGCGAAGGCAACUCGCUGGGACGGAACUGACGCUGAGGCGCGAAAGCGUGGGGAGCAAACAGG